AUGAACGCUGGCGGCGUGCCUAAUACAUGCAAGUCGAGCGAACAGACGAGAGUGCUUGCCCUCUCUGACGUUAGCGGCGGACGGGUGAGUAACACGUGGGUAACCUACCUAUAAGACUGGGAUAACUUCGGGAAACCGGAGCUAAUACCGGAUAAUAUUUAGCUUCGCAUGAAGCAAUAGUGAAAGACGGUUCUGCUGUCACUUAUAGAUGGACCCGCGGUGUAUUAGCUAGUUGGUGAGGUAACGGCUCACCAAGGCAACGAUACAUAGCCGACCUGAGAGGGUGAUCGGCCACACUGGGACUGAGACACGGCCCAGACUCCUACGGGAGGCAGCAGUAGGGAAUCUUCCGCAAUGGACGAAAGUCUGACGGAGCAAUGCCGCGUGAGUGAAGAAGGUUUUCGGAUCGUAAAACUCUGUUGUAAGGGAAGAACAAGUACGUUAGUAACUGAACGUACCUUGACGGUACCUUACCAGAAAGCCACGGCUAACUACGUG
This 498-nucleotide ribosomal RNA is filed under the name uncultured bacterium. RNAcentral describes it as "partial 16S ribosomal RNA". It matches the Rfam family "Bacterial small subunit ribosomal RNA", at positions 29 to 507 of the family's 1533-position model. The record is from RNAcentral.